Molecule: long non-coding RNA, 736 nt
Organism: Coffea eugenioides
Lineage: Eukaryota; Viridiplantae; Streptophyta; Magnoliopsida; Gentianales; Rubiaceae
Exons: 3
Source: RefSeq, a predicted model, not a curated record
UUUUGGUGCUAUGUCAGAAAUUUGGAGAGGUUGUUGGGUUAUCACAAACAUUAAACAUAAGUAUGUUGUCCUUGUAGCUGGAGGAAGGGAAGGUAUUGUAGUUGCUGGAUUAGUAUUUUUCUUAUUCAUUUUUUCGUCGUUUUAUUGGCAUAGUAUGUUGAGAUGAAUAUUUAUGUUUGUGCUCUUUGUCCAUUAUGAGCUCAUCUUUGCCGACUGAAAUCUUCUCUGGUUAACGUUUACCCUUUCCCUCCCACAUCCCCCCUCUGUCCCUCGCUUGUUAACUAAAUUGCAUUUGGGUAAGAUGGUUACAUAACGUGAUCUGAAUUGUUCAUAUUUUUUUGGUCUAUCGAAUGUUCUUGAAUUUUUGACAUUUAGCUGAAAGAUGAAGGCAAUAUUUGCUACUUACAGGUUCAUCAGUGUGUGUUGUUGUCUUCACAAUCCAAGCAGUCACCUCAGAGUUUUUGGAUGAAGAGGGUUUUCAAUCAUCCAGCAGUCUUGAUAACGAAUACUGGACUCGUCUUCUUUUUUAGGCGCGACCCAGAUCAAGUUUCUCAGCUUCCAAACUAAUUGCACAGGCUGAGGGUGGGGGAUCUGUCCAACUCCUUGUACCACUAGUCUCAUUUGUGCUCAAACAGAUUCCACUCCAGGACACUUUGAAUUUGUAUUUGCUUUUUGGUUAUAUAUAGGAAGGAAAAUUCUAAAUUAGUCUAUUAUAACUUUUUAGUUUUUUUUUUUU